GCCACGUCCCAAAUUUCCACGUUACCAAAACGGGCAGUCCGGUGUGAAAAGGGGAAUUAUAUAUGUAUACAGAGUCAGAAGAAAGGCUGGCUGGGAGGCAGUAGUGGGCACCUCGUUUGAGGGCCUCUCUUUCACUCACUCACACUCUCUCGCUUUGUGUGCGUGGGGAGAGAGUACAAAGCAUUGACCUAACUCCAGGGUUAGGGUUAAACAGUGCGCGAUGAUGCCACAAAAAAUCUGGCAAAUCCUCCAGCGUCCAGCUGAAGCGAGCGAACGAGCGAGCGAGAGAAGUAGAGCUAGGGUUAGAACCAUCUUUGACCUUGCAGCGCCAUUGAAUUUGGCUUUUGGACUGGAGGCGAGCGCCCCGAGAGGUCAGUCAUGAGUCAUGAGAGUCACUGCAAGGAUGCGACAAAGGCGACAGAGAGCGAGGUAGAGACGGGGGCAAUUGAGGGAUCGCGCGCGCUCGAUCGAGAGAUUGUAUGAUCUUAUAAUGGGGCGGCAGCAGCAGCAGGCAGCAGGCAGCAGGGCAGGCAGGUGUGGAUUCAAAUGGGGGUUGGUUGAUUGGUUGGGUGCUGCUUCUGCUGCUGCCUCGCUCCUCCUUUCCUUCCUGCCUGCCUGCAUAGGUGGAAGUGGUGCUGCAGUCGGUGGUGCUGUGGUAAUAUCAUGCAGCAAUCUCCCUCGUCAGGGAGUGCGACGCUGUGGGAAGCCAGGCUGAUCCUGACAAAUAAAGCAAGCAAGCAACUCCCCCGCCCCCACUCGCUCACCCAUACAUCCAUCGUUCGUCCAUCUGCGUGAUAUCAUUCAUUCGUUCUUGUGCUCAUCCAUCCAUCCUCCCUCGGCGUGAUAUCAUUCAUUCGUCCCUUUGUUUAUCGUACCCUACUUCUUACGAGGACAUGGGUGGUGAGAAUGAGGUGUGAAAGUAACAACACAUUGGGAUUUGUGAGGGAUCAUCAGUGGAAAAAUGUUUUAUGGGGAUCAUGGUUAUCUUCUGGUUGAUUAAAGGGCAAUACAAUUUGGUGAAUUCGAGUCUUCUCAAUGUUAUUCUUAUUUAUUUAUUUAUUUAUUUAUUUAUAUUUGUAUAAUAAGAAUCAUAAAUGGAAAGCCAUUACAUGUAGAAAUUGAAUAUAUAUAUAUAUAUAUAUAUAUAUAUAUAUACAUAGAUAUAUAUACAUAUAUUUAUAUACCAGGAUGCUUAUAA
RNAcentral lists this long non-coding RNA (1198 nucleotides) under Physcomitrium patens. RNAcentral's name for it is "long non-coding RNA (PPAT_LNC000877)". The record is from RNAcentral. Lineage: Eukaryota; Viridiplantae; Streptophyta; Bryopsida; Funariales; Funariaceae.